GAUGAACGCUGGCGGCGUGCCUAAUACAUGCCAGUCGAGCGAACAGACGAGGAGCUUGCUCCUCUGACGUUAGCGGCGGACGGGUGAGUAACACGUGGAUAACCUACCUAUAAGACUGGGAUAACUUCGGGAAACCGGAGCUAAUACCGGAUAAUAUAUUGAACCGCAUGGUUCAAUAGUGAAAGACGGUUUUGCUGUCACUUAUAGAUGGAUCCGCGCCGCAUUAGCUAGUUGGUAAGGUAACGGCUUACCAAGGCAACGAUGCGUAGCCGACCUGAGAGGGUGAUCGGCCACACUGGAACUGAGACACGGUCCAGACUCCUACGGGAGGCAGCAGUAGGGAAUCUUCCGCAAUGGGCGAAAGCCUGACGGAGCAACGCCGCGUGAGUGAUGAAGGUCUUCGGAUCGUAAAACUCUGUUAUUCGGGAAGAACAAAUGUGUAAGUAACUAUGCACGUCUUGACGGUACCUAAUCAGAAAGCCACGGCUAACUACGUG
Molecule: ribosomal RNA, 497 nt
Filed under: uncultured bacterium
Lineage: Bacteria
Description: partial 16S ribosomal RNA
Rfam family: Bacterial small subunit ribosomal RNA
Source: RNAcentral